CACUGCCAGCACCAUCCCCACUUCCUCCCCUGCGUCUGGCUCACAGUCUCCAUCACAAACCCCCUCGUCUGUGGCCAUUCUUUCAUCCAACGAACACCUGUUCUCCCUCAGUUUAUCGCCCACUAUCUGUCUGAAAUCUGGGGUGCCAUCCUCGCGACAUCGGCAAACGGACAGCAAACUACACUGCAUUGCUGGGGGAAGCCUUUUGAAGAAGCGGUCAGGAAGAAGCCAUUAGAAGAUGGAUACACCAUGGUGAUAAUGGAACACACAUGGUCAUCACAAGACUGAACAUUUGGCACAGGCAGGAUGCAUUCACGUGUAAACCACAUUCUUUCUGCAUUUUACAGCACAAAUCGAGAUAUGUCAGAUCAGUGAAUAAAAUGUGGCACACUCCAGCCCGGUGUUAAAUCUACAGAUGAACCCUGUAAGUACAAAAAAAGAAA
Molecule: long non-coding RNA, 443 nt
Organism: Pelobates fuscus (common spadefoot toad)
Lineage: Eukaryota; Metazoa; Chordata; Amphibia; Anura; Pelobatidae
Exons: 4
Source: RefSeq, a predicted model, not a curated record